ACACGAUCUACCUUGCCCUUGGUCUGAUCCGAUCUGCUCCAGGCUGCACGCGUUCCACCCUGCUGGCCUCCCGCUGUUCCCGUCGACCCGUCGCUGCCGUCGGUCGCCUCCGUCCGCCAGUCAUCGCCGCUGCUGCUGGCUUUUGCUCUUCCGGCCCCACCCUCUUCGCACCGCGGCUGGCUUCCGUGACUCUUCGCACCGUGGCUG
RNAcentral lists this long non-coding RNA (207 nucleotides) under Hordeum vulgare. RNAcentral describes it as "long non-coding RNA (HVUL_LNC009871)". Lineage: Eukaryota; Viridiplantae; Streptophyta; Magnoliopsida; Poales; Poaceae. The record is from RNAcentral.